CCCAGACUCCUACGGGAGGCAGCAGUGAGGAAUAUUGGUCAAUGGGCUUACGCCUGAACCAGCCAAGUCGCGUGAGGGAAGACUGCCCUAUGGGUUGUAAACCUCUUUUGUCAGGGAGCAACGCCGGCUACGUGUAGCCGGACUGAGAGUACCUGAAGAAAAAGCAUCGGCUAACUCCGUGCCAGCAGCCGCGGUAAUACGUAGGGGGCAAGCGUUAUCCGGAUUCACUGGGUGUAAAGGGAGCGUAGACGGCGACGCAAGUCUGGAGUGAAAGCCCGGGGCUCAACUCCGGGACUGCUUUUGAAACUGCGUUGCUAGAUUGCGGGAGAGGCAAGUGGAAUUCCUAGUGUAGCGGUGAAAUGCGUAGAUAUUAGGAGGAACACCAGUGGCGAAGGCGGCUUGCUGGACCGUGAAUGACGCUGAGGCUCGAAAGCGUGGGGAGCAAACAGGAUUAGAUACCCCCGUAC
RNAcentral lists this ribosomal RNA (467 nucleotides) under uncultured bacterium. RNAcentral describes it as "bacterial SSU rRNA". It matches the Rfam family "Bacterial small subunit ribosomal RNA", at positions 330 to 793 of the family's 1533-position model. The record is from RNAcentral.